CCUACGGGUGGCUGCAGUGAGGAAUAUUGGUCAAUGGGCGCACGCCUGAACCAGCCAAGUCGCGUGACGGAAGACUGCCCUACGGGUUGUAAACUUCUUUUGUAAAGGAGUAACUGGAGCCACGUGUACCUUUUUGUAUAUACUUUAUGAAUAAGGCUCGGCUAACUCCGGUCCCGCAGCCGCGGUAAUAAGGAGGAUCCGAGCGUUAUCCGGAUUUAUUGGGUUUAACGGGUUCGUAGGCGGACUGUUAAGUCAGCGGUAAAAGCCCGGGGCUCAACCCCGGCGAGCCGUUGAAACUGGCGGUCUUGAGAUGUCGAGAGGUAUGCGGAAUGCGUAGUGUAGCGGUGAAAUGCUUAGAUAUUGCGCAGAACUCCGAUUGCGAAGGCAGCAUACCGGCGGCGAUCUGACGCUGAGGCACGAAAGCGUGGGUAUCGAACAGGAUUAGAUACCCCUGUAGUC
Molecule: ribosomal RNA, 459 nt
Filed under: uncultured bacterium
Lineage: Bacteria
Description: partial 16S ribosomal RNA
Rfam family: Bacterial small subunit ribosomal RNA
Source: RNAcentral